This 262-nucleotide ribosomal RNA is filed under the name uncultured bacterium. RNAcentral describes it as "partial 16S ribosomal RNA". It matches the Rfam family "Bacterial small subunit ribosomal RNA", at positions 793 to 1055 of the family's 1533-position model. The record is from RNAcentral.
GUCCUGGCCGUAAACGUUGGGCACUAGGUGUUGGAGGCAUCGACCCCUCCAGUGCCGCAGCUAACGCAUUAAGUGCCCCGCCUGGGGAGUACGGCCGCAAGGUUGAAACUCAAAGGAAUUGACGGGGCCCGCACAAGCGGUGGAGCAUGUGGUUUAAUUCGACGCAACGCGAAGAACCUUACCCAGGCUUGACAUGCACGGGACCGGUGUUGAAAGACACCUUCCCUUCGGGGCUCGUGCACAGAUGCUGCAUGGCUGUCGU